UACGUAGGGUGCUAGCGUUGUCCGGAAUCACUGGGCGUAAAGGGUUCGCAGGCGGUCAAUUAAGUCAGAUGUGAAAGCCCCGAGCUUAACUUGGGAAUUGCAUCUGAAACUGGUUGGCUAGAGUCUUGUAGAGGGGGGUAGAAUUCCACGUGUAGCGGUGAAAUGCGUAGAGAUGUGGAGGAAUACCGAAGGCGAAGGCAGCCCCUUGGGAAUGUACUGACGCUCAUGUGCGAAAGCGUGGGGAGCAAACAGG
RNAcentral lists this ribosomal RNA (253 nucleotides) under uncultured bacterium. Its description in RNAcentral is "partial 16S ribosomal RNA". It matches the Rfam family "Bacterial small subunit ribosomal RNA", at positions 524 to 776 of the family's 1533-position model. The record is from RNAcentral.